RNAcentral lists this ribosomal RNA (266 nucleotides) under uncultured bacterium. RNAcentral's name for it is "partial 16S ribosomal RNA". It matches the Rfam family "Bacterial small subunit ribosomal RNA", at positions 793 to 1055 of the family's 1533-position model. The record is from RNAcentral.
GUCCUUGCCGUAAACGAUGUGGAUUAGGUGUUGGGGGUGUCGAUCCCCCCAGCGCCGCAGCUAACGCAUUAAAUCCACCACCUGGGGAGUACGGUCGCAAGACUGAAACUCAAAGAAAUUUACGGGGACCCGCACAAGCGGUGGAGCAUGUGGUUUAAUUCGAGGCUACGCGAAGAACCUUACCCAGGCUUGACAUGUAGUUGACAGCCCAUGAAAGUGGGUCUUCUCGCAAAGAGACAAUUACACAGGUGCUGCAUGGCUGUCGU